CACAUUCUGAAAUUGCAUUUUUGUCCCCCCCAGUUUAAUCAUUGGAAUGUGAUACAAAACGCGGCAACGGUGUGCUUUAUGACCACAGGGAUGCCUCCGAAUGGUCGGGUAGGCUGUUUGGAGUGUUUAUCCUACUGAUUUUAGGACCAACCGGACACCACAGAGCGAUCUGACAGGCUGUGUGUAGGCAAAGCUUCUGGUGAGGCUGGCUGGACCAGCAUGGGAGAGUUGAGCUUAUUUCAGUGCUUAUAUGUUGCGCUCGUUCACCGAGUUGUAAAAGGAAGCAGAACCGAAACGGAAUACUCUUUAGUUGAGUGAUGUAGCUGGCAAGACUAUAUCAGCUGUGUUGGUGAACCCUUCCCACAUCUGAACUGGCUGACACAGAGGGCACAACAUGAUUAUAGGUAUGUUUUGAUGUGAGAGAGGAUGCCAGUCCCGUCAUCGACACCUCACCCGCUCUUAAGAUAACCUUCGGGCCAUGGCUAGUUAGGAGACAUUGCUAAAGACAUUGUAAUUGUGAUGAACUGAGAGAAUAUUAGGGUAAAACUGUAAUUCAUUAAUCAUAUGCUGUCUGCCUCUGUUCUUAACUCUUUCCCUUUCUGUCUUCUACACCUCUCUCCCCACCUCGUCUUUCUUCCUCGUUUUAUAAUGCACACCAUAUGUGCAUUGAAGUACAGAUUGAACUCGUAUUUAUCAUAAUUAUAUUGCAUGUAUUUAUAACACCUGGAUAAUUAACUUAUUUCAUUAAAGCGUUUCACAUUCUCCACUGCUUGAAAUUAAGUAUCUCUGUAAGGGGUGUGAACUGGCGGCAGAGAAGUCAGACGCAGGAGAGAAAUAACUGUGUUUCCAACGGUGCAGUUUAUUAACAAAACACACCGGGAAACGGACUAAUAAAAUAAAUGGGUACAUAACCCAACGCACACCAGGACAGACGUGCACAAGCACUUACAAUAAACAAUCACGGACAAGGACAUGAGGGGGAACAGAGGGUUAAAUACACAACAUAUAAUUGAUGGGAUUGGAACCAGGUGUGACGGAAGACAAGACAAAACCAAAGGAAAAUGAAAAGAGGAUCAGCGAUGGCUAGAAGGUUGGUGACUUCGACCGCCGAACGCCGCCCGAACAAGGAGAGGGACCAACUUCGUCGGAAGUCGUGACAAUCUCAUUGAAAUACUAUCGUGUGUCCUCAGAUUAAUGCAGAUGAAUGGAGUUAGAUAUGCAUAGGUUUACUUGCAGCCUUUAUUUAAAUCAUGUUUCUAAUCUAUUGCAUAGUUACAAUGAGUAAUCAUUGAUGUCCCAGGAGCAGGAGUGUAUAAUUGUAAUACAUACAUGCAGACACAGCAUCAUUCAAAGAAUGUAGUUUGAUACACCUGAUAUUGGAUAUGUAUUGGAUAUGACUGAAAAAGAAUGUCUCACAGAGUCAUACCUGAAGCGCACCUUUAUUUGCCAAGGAAGAGUACAUGAUCAGUUACUAUAUUCAAUGUACAGGCUACAAUGUGGGGAUCUCAUGCGGGGUAAUAACUACAGUACAUGUAUACAGGACUUGCAUCCUUGGCACAAUAAAGUUAUUAUAUUCUACUCUAUCCAUAGGCUUCAUUAAUGCCAUUCAGACUUGAAGUUGAUACAACAACUAUGAUAGCUGAGGUGCAUAGAUUGGUAUGAAUAUUAGUUCAGAACCUAACGUAUUAGGGUCCAUACACAGAUCGGCUACAUAAUGUAGCUAGCCACACAUCCAUAGGCAUACAGUUAUUUUUAUCCUCCACUACACAAUAAGCAAGUAACUAGUUAGCUAGCUAUGUUACUUGCAAGGCAAGCUUACACAAUUGUACAUUCAACUUGCAGUAAAUGCUUUAGCUAGCUAGAUUCUUUACAUCCACAGUUUCCCAAGACGACAGCCUGGUUUGCUGGUUUUCUCAGGAGUCCCUAAAACAAUAAACAACACGAAUUACAAUGUCAUACUCAUGUCAUAACACCAGCUAGCUAGCUGGCUAAUGUUAGCUAGUCAGCUAACUUGCUAAACAGCGAAUUUCAUAAAUUCACUUUAUGACAAAUAAAUAUGCACAAUUGUUUGUCUCUACAUAAACUAAGAUAUUCCUCUCAAUUGUAAAUGUUUUGCUUGACUCGUUAUGACGUUAGAAUUACUUACAUUUGCUUUCACCGUAAUGUUUUGUCAGCCAUCUUUGCUGAAGAAAGUCACCAGGGACGGGUGGCUUGCAUCAAAUUCGUCAUUGGAAUCACUCGAUAUGAUUGGUCAUAUAAAAACCUUGGGACCCAAAUGCAUAAUGAGUGCUCUAACUCCCCCGUGUGGUGGUCUGGAGCAUUGAAACUGUGAUGCUGGGUACUUCUAAGUCCUGCGGUGUAAGCUUGCAACUUUUAAAGGAGGAACCACAGUAUAUCCUAUUUAUCUGUCAAGUUUCCAUGCACUACGUUGCAUAUAAUGUGAACAAUGAUGAAAAUUGUUUUGUUAAGAUAGGAAUGUGAUUAAAGGAGUCAGAAAGUAGCCACGCCCCGGGUGAGGUCAGAGAGCGUGUCAGCCUGCUGGAACCAUCCUUUUCGACCAGAGUGCAUAAAAGGACUGUUUAAGAAUUAACAUUGUAGACCAGAACAUUGCCAGGUUGCAGCUGCGUGUGUAAAGUGGUCUGAAUACUGAACCCUGAAUAUCAACACGAGGUGUAUGCGAGAAGCUCAUCUCCCAGACAAUUACUGGUACAGGUGAUUAGCUGUCCCAAGUCAAAAAUCGAGAAAAGCGAAUUUAAGUGAUACCAUCCUACUACUCUUCAAACCAUUCCAAUGAAAAGCCAAACAAACACUCUUCCGAAGAAGGGCUGGUUCCGACAGAGAUAAACGUCGAACGCCACUCACACGUAAAUACAUUCAUGAUUCCUUACUUCAA
Long non-coding RNA from Salvelinus fontinalis (brook trout), 2893 nucleotides. RefSeq lists it as uncharacterized. The transcript is spliced from 3 exons. The record is from RefSeq and is a predicted model, not a curated record. Lineage: Eukaryota; Metazoa; Chordata; Actinopteri; Salmoniformes; Salmonidae.